Molecule: non-coding RNA, 1157 nt
Organism: Punica granatum (pomegranate)
Lineage: Eukaryota; Viridiplantae; Streptophyta; Magnoliopsida; Myrtales; Lythraceae
Source: RefSeq, a predicted model, not a curated record
UCUGCCCCUUCACUCUCUUCUUUCCAGUAGAGGCGCGGCCCCUGUUCGUCCUCCAUAAAAACCAGCCGACCCCGUCAUUCAAUUCCAAUCGCCAUUUUCCCUCCUUCACCCAAUGGGACACACCCAGCCCCUUCCCUGGAGAAUCCAUCAAUGCUCGCUGCAAAGAGACCCAGUGAUUUAGCCAUCAAUCGAUGCUCCACUGAGCACCCAUCUUUCUGCUGGUGGAACCCUCCCGCCUUCACUCGCAACUGUUCAUCUGAAGCACAGCCAUUGACAGUCCUACAAUAUCCACAAAAGGACACUCCAUUCGGUGCCCAAGCCUAUAUACCAGAGAACUACCACGUGCUGCUCUGCUUGGCCGCCCAUCCUAAGAGGACAUAGCCAAAGCUAUACACCCAGUCCCAGAGUCAGACCCCAAAUUCACCACUUAUUAUUUGCAGUAAAUCCCCUUGACUAAUUUUCAGCGGAGGAACCAUAAAGUCUUGUGUCCUUCCGUAUAGAGUUGCCCCCUGUUUUGCUAUAUUAAUCUAGAGAUCGUUGAAUUCUGUGAAUAUUGCUUGUUAUGUUCGCGCUUGCCGUGAGGUGAAUCUCGGAGGAGAGAGUGGGGCGGCUAUGGAUAGAAGCUCCAGAGCGGUGUGCCAGGCAAAUGGGUGUGGAGCGCUGCAAACGGUGGAAGUAAAGAGAAAAGGAUUGAAACCGUGCAAUUCCAUAUCUUUUUAGACGAUCAUCUUUUUGUAAAAUUGUGCCUUCCAUGCAAGUUUGCUCAAGAGAACCGUUAUAUUCUCUAACUCAAGGCCGCAUAUCCUCUGACAUGUCCCGUUGAGAAGGCCGUCACCCCGCCACCUGCUACAAAGGGAAAGAAGGGCCUGACCUGUGAUGAAGGUUAAUUUUAACUUUUAUGUUAAGUGUCUUUGUUGGUUAUCAUCUUCUUAAAUUAAUAUGUUUUGCUUUGCAUUUGUUCAUCCUCUGUUGUUUCUGGAACAUGCUUCUUCCCUCCUGUAUGUCUUUGUAGUGCCAUACUUUUGUCAUCGAGAUAGUAUGUUGUCCAUAGUUCGAAACAAAAAAAUGUACAUGCUUAUUUUAAGGGGGUCAGUCUAAUACUACGACAGUCGGCACCAAUCCAUUUCAUUUAGUUCGAUUUUCGCUGAGCCUAUAAA